GACGAACGCUGGCGGCGUGCUUAACACAUGCAAGUCGAACGAGAUCCUCCGGGGUCUAGUGGCGAACGGGUGAGUAACACGUGAGCAACCUGCCCUUGGCUCUGGGAUAGCCUCCGGAAACGGGGAUUAAUACCGGACAUGACCGCGGAUCGCAUGAUCCGGGGUGGAAAGUUUUUCGGCCAGGGAGGGGCUCGCGGCCUAUCAGCUUGUUGGGGGGGUAACGGCCCACCAAGGCGACGACGGGUAGCCGGCCUGAGAGGGCGACCGGCCACACUGGGACUGAGACACGGCCCAGACUCCUACGGGAGGCAGCAGUGGGGAAUAUUGCACAAUGGGCGCAAGCCUGAUGCAGCGACGCCGCGUGCGGGAUGAAGGCCUUCGGGUUGUAAACCGCUUUCAGCAGGGGCGAACACAGGACGGUACCUGCAGAAGAAGCGCCGGCUAACUACGUGCCAGCAGCCGCAGUAAAAC
Molecule: ribosomal RNA, 471 nt
Filed under: uncultured bacterium
Lineage: Bacteria
Description: bacterial SSU rRNA
Rfam family: Bacterial small subunit ribosomal RNA
Source: RNAcentral